This 66-nucleotide transfer RNA is filed under the name Chaceon granulatus. Its description in RNAcentral is "tRNA-Ser". Lineage: Eukaryota; Metazoa; Arthropoda; Malacostraca; Decapoda; Geryonidae. The record is from RNAcentral.
GGAGUAUUAAGACAAAGGGAAAGCUUCUAACUUUUUUUUAAGCGGUUAAAAUCCGUUUAUACUCCU